RNAcentral lists this ribosomal RNA (393 nucleotides) under uncultured bacterium. RNAcentral describes it as "partial 16S ribosomal RNA". It matches the Rfam family "Bacterial small subunit ribosomal RNA", at positions 523 to 918 of the family's 1533-position model. The record is from RNAcentral.
AUACGGAGGAUGCGAGCGUUAUCCGGAUUUAUUGGGUUUAAAGGGAGCGUAGGUGGGAUAUUAAGUCAGCUGUGAAAGUUUGGGGCUCAACCUUAAAAUUGCAGUUGAUACUGGUUUCCUUGAGUACGGUACAGGUGGGCGGAAUUCGUGGUGUAGCGGUGAAAUGCUUAGAUAUCACGAAGAACUCCGAUCGCGAAGGCAGCUCACCGGGCCGGAACUGACACUGAUGCUCGAAAGUGCGGGUAUCAAACAGGAUUAGAUACCCUGGUAGUCCGCACAGUAAACGAAGAAUACUCGCUGUUUGCGAUACACGGUAAGCGGCCAAGCGAAAGCGUUAAGUAUUCCACCUGGGGAGUACGCCGGCAACGGUGAAACUCAAAUGAAUUGGCGGGG